AGGCCCUCGUGAAGCCUCAGGCCGUCAAGCCCAAGAUGCCAAAGGGCUCCAGCCGCAAACCCAGCGGUCUGGCUUUCAUCGCUCGCCCCAAGCUUGGGAAGAAGAUUUGAAGCUACAUGGCCAAGGGUCGUAGGCUCUGCCAACCAAAGCCCAAGGUUCAAACCAAGUCAGAGGCCAAAGCUCCAGCUAAGGCCCAGGCUUCAGCUCCAGCCCAGGCUCCCAAGGGUGCCCAGGCCCCUGUGAUGGCCCCAUAGAAAAGGCUCCUGCCAGUGUGAAGACAGAUGGACUGCUGUGACACACCUACCUAUAUAGUUUGCAGAUGACCAGUGUCCUAUGCUGUUUUUACAAAUAAACUUGAGACAAG
This 364-nucleotide long non-coding RNA is filed under the name Rattus norvegicus (Norway rat). Its description in RNAcentral is "long non-coding RNA NONRATT011159". The record is from RNAcentral. Lineage: Eukaryota; Metazoa; Chordata; Mammalia; Rodentia; Muridae.